This 468-nucleotide ribosomal RNA is filed under the name uncultured bacterium. RNAcentral's name for it is "partial 16S ribosomal RNA". It matches the Rfam family "Bacterial small subunit ribosomal RNA", at positions 28 to 507 of the family's 1533-position model. The record is from RNAcentral.
GACGAACGCUGGCGGCGUGCUUAACACAUGCAAGUCGAACGGAAAGGCCCUGCGUUUGUGGGGUGCUCGAGUGGCGAACGGGUGAGUAACACGUGAGUAACCUGCCCUUGACUUUCGGAUAACUUCAGGAAACUGGGGCUAAUACCGGAUAGGAGCUCCUGCUGCAUGUUGGGGGUUGGAAAGUUUCGGCGGUUGGGGAUGUACUCGCGGCUUAUCAGCUUGUUGGUGUGGUAGUGGCUUACCAAGGCUUUGACGGGUAGCCGGCCUGAGAGGGUGACCGGCCGCAUUGGGACUGAGAUACGGCCCAGACUGCUACGGGAGGCAGCAGUGGGGAAUAUUGCACAAUGGGCGCAAGCCUGAUGCAGCAACGCCGCGUGCGGGAUGACGGCCUUCGGGUUGUAAACCGCUUUCGCCUGUGACGAAGCGUGAGUGACGGUAAUGGGUAAAGAAGCACCGGCUAACUACGUG